AGAGUUUGAUCCUGGCUCAGGAUGAACGCUGGCGGCGUGCCUAAUACAUGCAAGUCGAGCGAACGGACGAGAAGCUUGCUUCUCUGAUGUUAGCGGCGGACGGGUGAGUAACACGUGGAUAACCUACCUAUAAGACUGGGAUAACUUCGGGAAACCGGAGCUAAUACCGGAUAAUAUUUUGAACCGCAUGGUUCAAAAGUGAAAGACGGUCUUGCUGUCACUUAUAGAUGGAUCCGCGCUGCAUUAGCUAGUUGGUAAGGUAACGGCUUACCAAGGCAACGAUGCAUAGCCGACCUGAGAGGGUGAUCGGCCACACUGGAACUGAGACACGGUCCAGACUCCUACGGGAGGCAGCAGUAGGGAAUCUUCCGCAAUGGGCGAAAGCCUGACGGAGCAACGCCGCGUGAGUGAUGAAGGUCUUCGGAUCGUAAAACUCUGUUAUUAGGGAAGAACAUAUGUGUAAGUAACUGUGCACAUCUUGACGGUACCUAAUCAGAAAGCCACGGCUAACUACGUGCCAGCAGCCGCGGUAAUACGUAGGUGGCAAGCGUUAUCCGGAAUUAUUGGGCGUAAAGCGCGCGUAGGCGGUUUUUUAAGUCUGAUGUGAAAGCCCACGGCUCAACCGUGGAGGGUCAUUGGAAACUGGAAAACUUGAGUGCAGAAGAGGAAAGUGGAAUUCCAUGUGUAGCGGUGAAAUGCGCAGAGAUAUGGAGGAACACCAGUGGCGAAGGCGACUUUCUGGUCUGUAACUGACGCUGAUGUGCGAAAGCGUGGGGAUCAAACAGGAUUAGAUACCCUGGUAGUCCACGCCGUAAACGAUGAGUGCUAAGUGUUAGGGGGUUUCUGCCCCUUAGUGCUGCAGCUAACGCAUUAAGCACUCCGCCUGGGGAGUACGACCGCAAGGUUGAAACUCAAAGGAAUUGACGGGGACCCGCACAAGCGGUGGAGCAUGUGGUUUAAUUCGAAGCAACGCGAAGAACCUUACCAAAUCUUGACAUCCUUUGACAACUCUAGAGAUAGAGC
RNAcentral lists this ribosomal RNA (1023 nucleotides) under Staphylococcus aureus M45704. RNAcentral describes it as "bacterial SSU rRNA". It matches the Rfam family "Bacterial small subunit ribosomal RNA", at positions 8 to 1012 of the family's 1533-position model. Lineage: Bacteria; Bacillati; Bacillota; Bacilli; Caryophanales; Staphylococcaceae. The record is from RNAcentral.